Molecule: non-coding RNA, 89 nt
Filed under: Grimontia sp.
Lineage: Bacteria; Pseudomonadati; Pseudomonadota; Gammaproteobacteria; Vibrionales; Vibrionaceae
Description: c-di-GMP sequence
Rfam family: c-di-GMP-I riboswitch aptamer
About the family: GEMM was predicted in a large-scale screen for bacterial structured RNA regulatory elements. Genes associated with GEMM are involved in a diverse array of functions, including chemotaxis regulation, signal transduction, secretion and chitin.
Source: RNAcentral
CGGAGUUAAAGCCAAACCUGUUGUGAAACAGGGACGGAAAGUUACGGGUCUCAGGUUUAUGGUGGUACUGAGAUGGCUGGACCGCCUCU